AGGCAGCUCCAAAAUGGUGUUUCAGCUUAGCUCAGUGCUUUCUGUGGUGGUGGGGCACUUGUUGGGAUGUGUUUGUUGAGUAAGGAUGAAUAUGUUGGAGACCCAUUUGAGGCGUCAAAUGGUGAAGUUUGCGCUGGGAAAAGUGGAGUCUCAGAGUGACCAGGAUUUCUGAAUAACAGUGGCAGCCUCAAAAGAAUCUGGACAACAGAAGUUUUUGUUUUGAACAUCGGAGUAGAGCACCUGUCAAAGGAGUCAUCUCAGGGGUGAUGACGGAUGUUCAGGUUGAAAACCUGAAGAUAAUUCCUGGUGUGGUUGGUGCCCGGUGUCUGACCAGCUGGGUGAAAGGAGAAAGUGUUGGUCCUAUUUUUUGAUAAAGAGCAGAUAACUACGCAUGUGAAGCUUGGUUAAAGUAAAAUACGCCGUCAGAGCUUUCGUCCCCAAACCAUUGCAAUGUAAGAAUUGUAAAGGAUUUGUCCAUGUUUCAAGUGUGUGGAGAUGGACAGAGUAUUGAAGGACGACAGUGUUGCAAUUGUGGUGGGGAUCAUGAUCCCCAAUUCCUGGAGUGUGCUCUAAGGGUGAAGGAGAUUGAGGUGGUAAAAUUAGAGCAGUGAAUCGAAUCUCCGAUGCGGAUGCGAUUAAAAUAAUUGAGAAAACAAGUUAUGCUAGGGAAGAUAUGGUAGUGUUAAAAAGGUGGAUUUUGUGGCGUUCAUUGCUAUAGUUAUAAACUGUACGGCACGUCUCAGAAAUCCUAAGAAACUGGACAUUAUUGUGGCUGCGGCAGAAAAGUUUACAUUUGAAGACCUGUAAGGGCGCUGGAAGACCUGACCUUCCAGGUGCCCCUUGAGCCGGUGUAGGGAUCAGAUCUGUUUUAUUUAUUUUUUAACAGAAAAGUAGAGUAUUUUUAAUUUUUUUGUAUUUUAUUACAUUUUUGGUAUCCUGUUUCCAUCCUGCACAGUAGGUGGCGGAAUGCACAUUAAAUUGUGCUAUCACAAAUAUAUUAUAGUAUAAAUAGUUUUUGGUGUGGUAGAAGUUAGAUAUUUAUUUGGUUUUGAAUUUUAUUUUCAUGGUAGUAUAGAAUUGCGCAGAUCAUGAUUGAUCGUACAUUCCAGCACAGUAGGUCCCGGCAUUCACUUAAAUUAUUGUUUGCGGACUGCCAUGAUAUUGUAGAAGUAUUCGGGCCUGGGAAUUUAGCGGAGAAUGUCUCUCCGUGGGGACUGGCCCCCUAUGCAAGUUUCCAUGUCUUGUCUGUUUGGGUGUUUGCUGUGAUCGCAAUGGAACAGUGUCUGCGGAAUGCAAAUUCUUACUGGCGAAUUCGAGUGAGGAAGUGGGCGGCUACGCUGACGACGAACUGUCGCUAAAAUGGUCAUCCAAGAGCAGAGGACGGAGAGAGGCAUUGGUACAACACACAUCUAGGAGCUUUAGCUCCUCUAAGGGACGUGAUUCUUCCUGUGUUCCCCUUACAGGCUGACUACACCACUCGCGUCGCGUGUGCGAGCGUUGCAAAAUAAAUGUAGAAAUCUAUGUUAUUCAAUUAUUGCACCCACACUGCUCGCACGCGCCAACGAGCGUCUGCGUUGCUAAGGGCAAAAUAGAACUCGGUUCCAUUUCUGACGCAGAUCGCGGUGUAAAUCCUGCCUCUCAUCUCCUCAUUGGUUUAUAGAAGCAGGUAUCCACGUGCCAUCUCCUCAUUGGUUAUACCCACUGGGUGACUGAAAGACGAACGAGGUCAGUGGCAUAAUGCACCUAAUUUAUGAAAGUUGCCAAUCGCAAUAUAAAGUCAAGAGAAGAAAACGCAUGGAAGGAAGAAAUUCGGUUGACCAUUUUAUCUGUGGAUUAAUUGGAGGAGUAGAGGACCUUGUGCAUUUCAGCUUCAAUUCUGUGGAGGAAGGGGACCUGCAAUUUGACAGCCGAAGACAGAUCUCAAAGACUCCCCCCACCCAAAUCCACUUUUGUUUAUUCAAGUGAACAGUCAAGAUGGGAAAGCCUUGAUAAACAGCAUACCUGACCGUAUCCCUCAGUCUAGGAGUUUGCAGGUAGUGGGUCAGUCGAAGACAGAAGAUGCUCCCUCUUGGUCAGGAUAUGCAGUUGACGUCGCUCACAGUGAAAGACCAAUUAAUGAGAUGCAUGAGAAGAAACGGGGAGUCUGAAGAGCCAAUCCUAAGUUAUCCAGUGAUAUGGAGACCAUGGAUUCCCUGUCAUAGAGAAACUGGAUGUCUAGAAAAAUUUGACCAAGGGAAUGUGUCAUCAAGAACCAGACAGAUGUCCAAAGGUGCUCAUGGAUUCCAGCACCCUGUCAGGCUCUUCAUGCCCAAGUCCAGGACUGAGGAAUAUGUGUCUCAUUUGGGGAAGGUGGUCUUGGACAGUUUCCCUGUCCAAGCCACUCUCCACUUCUACAACGAUGACUCCAGCUCUGAGGAUGAUGAAGAUAUGGAGGAAGAGCUGGAGGUUCAUUCACAUAGUUUGGAUCACAGGUCCCAUCCACUCAGAGAUAAUUCAGAGAGGUAGCUAGUCUUUACUGUUUUGGAAACAAGCAGGUGUGAUUGGACAAGGGAGACGGACAGUGCAGCAGGUCACAGGAGACAUGUUACUUCCAUGGUGAGGGUCUAGUAGGACCCAAUGUGUUCACCUGAGACAGCCACAGAAAGCCGGGAAGGGCCAGGUCACUGGCUGCAUGUGGCUUCACUGAGGUGAUUCUGUUUACACCAGAUCACCGUCAACACACCUUUAACCUGGAUAUGGCCAUUUUCCUUGACAACGUCCUAUGUUCUCUGGACCUUGUCAUACAAACUCAAGUUGGCCUUGUGCUGGUCCCUUGUUUUUGUUUGUAGUGAAACAUUUUCUAUGCUUUCAAUGUUUUGUAAUUAUAAUAUUUUUUUUAUGUGUGUAUGACAGUGUGUGUGUAAUACAUUGCUGGACAUAUGAGUUACUGUGUAGAUGGUUUGUUGGUUGAAAUGUAAAUAAUGUAUGUGCAUAGAAUUGAAUAUUACUGUUAUGCGCUUAGCUAGUGA
RNA transcript from Salmo salar (Atlantic salmon), 3008 nucleotides. RefSeq lists it as uncharacterized. The record is from RefSeq and is a predicted model, not a curated record. Lineage: Eukaryota; Metazoa; Chordata; Actinopteri; Salmoniformes; Salmonidae.